Molecule: ribosomal RNA, 526 nt
Filed under: uncultured bacterium
Lineage: Bacteria
Description: bacterial SSU rRNA
Rfam family: Bacterial small subunit ribosomal RNA
Source: RNAcentral
AGCUAAUAGAUACCCUGGUAGUCCUGGCAGUAAACGGUGCGCGUUUGGUGUGGGAGGAUUCGACCCCUUCUGUGCCGGAGCUAAACGCGUUAAACGCGCCGCCUGGGGAGUACGGUCGCAAGACUAAAACUCAAAGAAAUUGACGGGGGCCCGCACAAGCGGUGGAGUAUGUGGCUUAAUUCGAUGCAACGCGAAGAACCUUACCUAGCCUUGACAUGCAUCUCUAAGUCGGUGAAAGCCGGCGAGUGUAGCAAUACACAAUUUGCACAGGUGCUGCAUGGCUGUCGUCAGCUCGUGUCGUGAGAUGUUGGGUUUAAGUCCCGCAACGAGCGCAACCCCUGUGAACUGUUGCCACCACACUACGGUGUGAGCACUCUGUUCAGACUGCCCUGUGAAACGGGGAGGAAGGUGGGGAUGACGUCAAGUCAGCAUGGCCCUUACGGCUAGGGCUGCACACGUACUACAAUGCUCAGUACAGAAUGAACCGAAACCGCGAGGUGGAGGAAAUCCAUAAAACUGAGCCCAA